CCAAAAUAAAAAAUACAUCCUUUUGUGAUUGUCCUACAGGUUAUAUCUCUACAAUAUGAGGCUUUGAUGCAUUAAUAACAUUUCACUCACAGUGUAGUUGAUGCAGUCACUUUCUGGCAAGAAAAUGACAUUAUAUGAGUUGAACUGGUCCUUUGAAGCUAUUUCAAGGGAAAUGGUUCAUGUAGAAAAGAGGAGGUAAAAUAAUACAGACGCAUGAGAAUAAAUUGUUUUGUGGAUUUAAACCAGUUGGUUUUGCAGACGAUCACUUUUUUGGCACAACACUGGCAGUAGUACACGGACACACCCACAGACAACACUUCCUAAAAGGUGAGUUUAAAGCAGUGACAAAAGAGGGACAGUCACACCCAGAGGAGCAGGAAAAGAUUGUUGUGUCCACAACAGACAUGGAAGAGAGGAGUGCCUAUGAGGACAAAGGCAAGGAGGGAGCAAUGUCUGCUGAGACUUCUUAUUCAGAUGGGAAAGAAUCUGGACAUUCAGAAACACAAUCUUCUCAGGGUGAACUGCCAGAGGCUGACUUGCUGGCUGACCUGACAUCAGUAUUGGCAUCCAACCCUUCAAGCCUGAAAGAGGUGGAUCUGACUAGAAAGUCUUUGAAGAAACGGGAGGUGGAGCAGCUGUGUGCUAGUCUGGAUAGUCCACUCUGCAGA
This is a long non-coding RNA of Acanthochromis polyacanthus (spiny chromis), 668 nucleotides long. RefSeq lists it as uncharacterized. The transcript has 3 exons. The record is from RefSeq and is a predicted model, not a curated record. Lineage: Eukaryota; Metazoa; Chordata; Actinopteri; Pomacentridae.